AUGAACGCUGGCGGCGUGCCUCAUACAUGCAAGUCGAGCGAACGGACGAGAAGCUUGCUUCUCUGAUGUUAGCGGCGGACGGGUGAGUAACACGUGGAUAACCUACCUAUAAGACUGGGAUAACUUCGGGAAACCGGAGCUAAUACCGGAUAAUAUUUUGAACCGCAUGAUUCAAAAGUGAAAGACGGUCUUGCUGUCACUUAUAGAUGGAUCCGCGCUGCAUUAGCUAGUUGGUAAGGUAACGGCUUACCAAGGCAACGAUGCAUAGCCGACCUGAGAGGGUGAUCGGCCACACUGGAACUGAGACACGGUCCAGACUCCUACGGGAGGCAGCAGUAGGGAAUCUUCCGCAAUGGGCGAAAGCCUGACGGAGCAACGCCGCGUGAGUGAUGAAGGUCUUCGGAUCGUAAAACUCUGUUAUUAGGGAAGAACAUAUGUGUAAGUAACUGUGCACAUCUUGACGGUACCUAAUCAGAAAGCCACGGCUAACUACGUG
This 496-nucleotide ribosomal RNA is filed under the name uncultured bacterium. RNAcentral describes it as "partial 16S ribosomal RNA". It matches the Rfam family "Bacterial small subunit ribosomal RNA", at positions 29 to 507 of the family's 1533-position model. The record is from RNAcentral.